CCCUUAGAUGUUCUGGGCUGCACGCGCGCUACACCGAAGCUAUCAACACGUUUUCCCUCCCUGAGAAGGGCGGGUAACCUUUUGAAUCAGCUUCGUGGUAGGGAUCGGGGCUUGCAAUUGUUCCCCGUGAACCAGGAAUUCCUAGUAGACGCGAGUCAUAAGCUCGCAUCGAUUAAGUCCCUGCCCUUUGUACACACCGCCCGUCGCUACUACCGAUUGAACGUUUUAGUGAGGCAUUUGGACCGACGCAUCUCAGUUUAACCGCUGGUUUGUGUUGGAAAGACUUCCAAACUUGAGCGUUUAGAGGAAGUAAAAGUCGUAACA
This 324-nucleotide ribosomal RNA is filed under the name uncultured eukaryote. Its description in RNAcentral is "partial 18S ribosomal RNA". It matches the Rfam family "Eukaryotic small subunit ribosomal RNA", at positions 1470 to 1796 of the family's 1831-position model. The record is from RNAcentral.